RNAcentral lists this ribosomal RNA (16 nucleotides) under Hookeria lucens. RNAcentral's name for it is "partial 18S ribosomal RNA". Lineage: Eukaryota; Viridiplantae; Streptophyta; Bryopsida; Hookeriales; Hookeriaceae. The record is from RNAcentral. RNAcentral also lists the same sequence under 1 other name.
GGAUAUUGUACACACA